ACGAACGCUGGCGGCUGCUUAACACAUGCAAGUCGAACGGAGUGGCGAACGGGUGAGUAACGCGUGAGCAACCUGCCUAUGACCGUGGGAUAGCCUCGGGAAACCGGGAUUAAUACCGCAUAGUCAUAGAUGGGCUCGCGUCUGAUUAGCUAGUUGGUGAGAUAACAGCCCACCAAGGCGACGAUCAGUAGCCGGUCGUAGAGGAUGAACGGGCACAUUGGAACGGAGACACGGUCCAAACUCCUACGGGAGGCAGCAGUGGGGAAUAUUGCAAAAUGGGGGAAACCCUGAUGCAGCGACGCCUCGUGAACGAAGAAGGUAGUCGUAUAGUAAAGUUCGGUCCUAUGGGAAGCAGUACCAUAGAAGAAAGCGCCGGCUAAAUACGUGCCAGCAGCCGCGGUAAUAC
This 406-nucleotide ribosomal RNA is filed under the name uncultured bacterium. RNAcentral's name for it is "partial 16S ribosomal RNA". It matches the Rfam family "Bacterial small subunit ribosomal RNA", at positions 29 to 526 of the family's 1533-position model. The record is from RNAcentral.